GACGAACGCUGGCGGCGUGCUUAACACAUGCAAGUCGAACGGGCCCGCCCCUGUUUUUGGGGGUGGGUUGAGUGGCGAACGGGUGAGUAUCACGUGAGUAACCUGCCCCCUGCUCCUGGAUAACUGCUUGAAAGGGCGGCUAAUACGGGGUGUGCCGGCUGGUCCGCAUGGGCCUGGUCGGGAUAGUUUCAUCUUCGGGUGUUUCGGUGGGGGAUGGGCUCGCGGCCUAUCAGCUUGUUGGUGGGGUGAUGGCCCACCAAGGCGGUGACGGGUAGCCGGCCUGAGAGGGUGGGCGGCCACACUGGGACUGAGACACGGCCCAGACUCCUGCGGGAGGCAGCAGUGGGGGGUAGUGCACAAUGGGCGGAAGCCUGAGGCAGCGACGUCGCGUGAGGGAUGGAGGCCUUCGGGUUGUGAACCUCUUUCUCCGGUGGUGAAGGCCCUGUCCGUUGCGGCGGGGUUGACGGUAGCCGGGGAUGAAGCGCCGGCUAACUACGUG
This 499-nucleotide ribosomal RNA is filed under the name uncultured bacterium. Its description in RNAcentral is "partial 16S ribosomal RNA". It matches the Rfam family "Bacterial small subunit ribosomal RNA", at positions 28 to 507 of the family's 1533-position model. The record is from RNAcentral.